GGAACUUAGAAGUACUUAAUGUUUUGUAUAAAAUCAGCAAUGUUUGAACACGAUGUUCAAACAAGCCGCCACUGAGCCAUGGAUGGCGAAUUGGCGGCGGUUGCGUAUAGGGGAAAUGUGUGUGUCAGAACAUUUAGUACUUCUUAGUUUC
Molecule: non-coding RNA, 151 nt
Filed under: pig gut metagenome
Source: RNAcentral